This 113-nucleotide ribosomal RNA is filed under the name Bacillus subtilis. RNAcentral describes it as "partial 16S ribosomal RNA". It matches the Rfam family "Bacterial small subunit ribosomal RNA", at positions 1 to 109 of the family's 1533-position model. The record is from RNAcentral. Lineage: Bacteria; Bacillati; Bacillota; Bacilli; Caryophanales; Bacillaceae.
UUUAUCGGAGAGUUUGAUCCUGGCUCAGGACGAACGCUGGCGGCGUGCCUAAUACAUGCAAGUCGAGCGGACAGAUGGGAGCUUGCUCCCUGAUGUUAGCGGCGGACGGGUGA